RNAcentral lists this ribosomal RNA (833 nucleotides) under Hypoxylon fendleri. Its description in RNAcentral is "eukaryotic LSU rRNA". It matches the Rfam family "Eukaryotic large subunit ribosomal RNA", at positions 77 to 938 of the family's 3401-position model. The record is from RNAcentral. Lineage: Eukaryota; Fungi; Ascomycota; Sordariomycetes; Xylariales; Hypoxylaceae.
GCCCUAGUAACGGCGAGUGAAGCGGCAACAGCUCAAAUUUGAAAUCUGGCCUUCGGGUCCGAAUUGUAAUUUGUAGAGGAUGCUUUGGGUGCGGUACCUUCCGAGUUCCCUGGAACGGGACGCCGGAGAGGGUGAGAGCCCCGUACGGUUGGAUACCAAGCCUAUGUAUAGCUCCUUCGACGAGUCGAGUAGUUUGGGAAUGCUGCUCUAAAUGGGAGGUAAAUUUCUUCUAAAGCUAAAUACCGGCCAGAGACCGAUAGCGCACAAGUAGAGUGAUCGAAAGAUGAAAAGCACUUUGAAAAGAGGGUUAAAUAGCACGUGAAAUUGUUGAAAGGGAAGCGUUUGCGACCAGACCUUUUCCAGGCGGAUCAUCCGGUGUUCUCACCGGUGCACUUCGCCUGGUUUAGGCCAGCAUCGGUUUUCUUAGGGGGACAAAGGUUUAGGGCACGUAGCUCCUUCGGGAGUGUUAUAGCCCUUUACGUAAUACCCUUCGGGGGACCGAGGACCGCGCAUUGCAAGGAUGCUGGCGUAAUGGUCGUCAACGACCCGUCUUGAAACACGGACCAAGGAGUCGAACAUUUGUGCGAGUGUUUGGGUGUUAAACCCUCACGCGUAAUGAAAGUGAACGGAGGUGAGAGCCCUUCGGGGUGCAUCAUCGACCGAUCCUGAUGUCUUCGGAUGGAUUUGAGUAAGAGCAUAACUGUUCGGACCCGAAAGAUGGUGAACUAUGCGUGGAUAGGGUGAAGCCAGAGGAAACUCUGGUGGAGGCUCGCAGCGGUUCUGACGUGCAAAUCGAUCGUCAAAUCUGCGCAUGGGGGCGAAAGACUUAUCGA